AGCAUGGUCUUAGCUUGCUAAGGCCGAUGGCGACCGGCGCACGGGUGAGUAACGCGUAUCCAACCUGCCUUACACUCUUGGACAGCCUUCUGAAAGGAAGAUUAAUCCAGGAUGGGAUCAUGAGUUCACAUGUCCGCAUGAUUAAAGGUAUUUUCCGGUAGACGAUGGGGAUGCGUUCCAUUAGAUAGUAGGCGGGGUAACGGCCCACCUAGUCUUCGAUGGAUAGGGGUUCUGAGAGGAAGGUCCCCCACAUUGGAACUGAGACACGGUCCAAACUCC
RNAcentral lists this ribosomal RNA (279 nucleotides) under uncultured Bacteroides sp. RNAcentral's name for it is "partial 16S ribosomal RNA". It matches the Rfam family "Bacterial small subunit ribosomal RNA", at positions 68 to 339 of the family's 1533-position model. The record is from RNAcentral. Lineage: Bacteria; Pseudomonadati; Bacteroidota; Bacteroidia; Bacteroidales; Bacteroidaceae.